RNAcentral lists this transfer RNA (65 nucleotides) under Dipodomys ordii (Ord's kangaroo rat). It matches the Rfam family "tRNA". Rfam says of the family: Transfer RNA (tRNA) molecules are approximately 80 nucleotides in length. Lineage: Eukaryota; Metazoa; Chordata; Mammalia; Rodentia; Heteromyidae. The record is from Rfam by way of RNAcentral.
GGUGGCUCAGUGGUAGGGUGCUUGCCUUGAAUGCAUGAGGCUCUGGGUUCGAUUCCUCAGCACCA